Molecule: long non-coding RNA, 351 nt
Organism: Sinocyclocheilus grahami
Lineage: Eukaryota; Metazoa; Chordata; Actinopteri; Cypriniformes; Cyprinidae
Exons: 3
Source: RefSeq, a predicted model, not a curated record
GAGAAAGAGAGAGAGCGAGAGAGAGAUUGACGCAACUUAAGCAGUCAGGGCUGGAAAAACCAAGAUGCAUUACCUUCUUUUACUACUAAACUAGUCCACCCCACCUCUGGCAUUCUGGCUGUAUUUGUGGCACUGAACUACUGUGACGUUGUGCACGUGGCUGGAUUCGGAUAUCCAGAGUCCAGGAACCAGAAACAGCCCAUCCACUAUUACGGAAAGGAGACAAUGAAAUCCAUGAAGAAUUCCUACCAUGAUCUCAAUCAAGAGGCUCUCGUGCUUAAGAGACUUGAAGACCAGGGAGCUAUUUUAUAUCUUCAUCCUCAUUCCUGACACCCAACAUGAACACAUGUA